This 7284-nucleotide long non-coding RNA is filed under the name Lactuca sativa (garden lettuce). RNAcentral describes it as "long non-coding RNA (LSAT_LNC006948)". Lineage: Eukaryota; Viridiplantae; Streptophyta; Magnoliopsida; Asterales; Asteraceae. The record is from RNAcentral.
GUUUGAUUUAGUCAUCUAGUGGAGUUUAGAUGACGACCAUGGGCUAUUCUAGACAGUCUUGUGGAACAUUAUCAGGUUCGCCACCUGUAGGUGUUAAUGAACUUGGAUGUUCAUUCGUUGUACUCCAUCCCCCUCAUGGUUGCCUUAUUUGACUUAUAUUGCUGAGGUACCCCCGAAGCAUGUGUUGUCGCCCCGAUGAAAUAUUCUUAGACUAGGUCCCUUAUGUUAGUUGUCUUAGGGACAUAAAGUGAGAAUAACGGGAAUGGGUAAUUGGGUUAUUGUUGGUUGGUGAAAAUUAAAUAUGAUUAUUUAUUGUGGGUUGAAAACCCUAUAUGCUCACCAGGCUCCCAAGCCUGACCCACUCAGUUUUAUUUGUAUUACAGGAAGUGGCGCAAGGGCAUAAGAUGGAUGAACCAUCAAGUUGUUUUGUUUACAAGUCUGCAUAUGUUUAUAUUUGUUAUAUGACUUGUAAUGUAUUCGUUUAUGCUUAUUGGUCUGUAUCGGAACAUGACACCCCGAGUUUUGAUUAUAAUGAAAAUACAUUUCUUUUAUGAAAUGCUUCGGUAAACAAUGUUUUAUCAUGUUUUGUUUUUGGGAACAAAUUCCGCAACUCUUUCAAAUCAAAAGGAUUUACUCUGAAAAUAUUUAAAAGCAUAAAUGAAAAUCGGUCUUUUCUGGCCGAGAUUUUGGGGAUGUCACAGUUGGUAUCAGAGCAUUAGUUUAAGCGAACUAGGAAUUUGUAGGAUUUCUAGACUUAAACUUAGAAUGCUAAGUGAAGUUUUGAGAUGUGUGUCUGUUGUGAUUUAGACACGAGCACUAGUUUAUUUUAGGAAAGUUGCCUAAAAUGCUUUAUGUGCUAAAUGUUAUAUGUUGCCAUAUAUGAUAUUAUUUGUUCGGAUCUAUGGUCUGUUGCCGACCGGAUCUAGAAACCUUAUGUGUGUAGGAUUCUAAGCGUACGUCUACGAUAUUAGAACUAGCAUGUAAACGUUUCGGAGUGAUAAGGAUGAUUUGAAUAUCUAUCAUGAUUGAGGAUCUAAUUUCACCUUAUUCGGGGUGUAGAUCAAAAUGGUGAGAACAAGAAGUGGAGUUGGAAAUGCUGACGAAAACAGGAAUCAACCACCAGUGAUUGAGCCAAUACCUGUCGUAGCAGCAGCACCUGAGCCAAUAACCAUGGCUGGUGUGCAAUUGAUGAUUCAGACGAUGUUGGAUCGUCAGAUGGAUGAAACUAGACGGUUGCUUCAACAAAAUCGUGAAGAACUGUCGAUUCGUGUGGAAGAGCCUGAAUUAAAUGAAGGGCACUCGGAAGGUGGAAACUUCAGUGGGUCUGUUGGUCCAGCCAACCCACCGAUAGUUAGGCAAGAUAACCAUGAAGGAAGGAAUGAUGGAAUGGGAUGCAAGUACAAGGACUUUUUGACUUGCAAACCAUCGACCUUCAAUGGAAAGGAGGAUCCGAUUGGGGUUAUGGAUUGGAUCUCCGAAAUGGAGUUAGCCUUUAUGACAUGUGGCUGCAGAGGUAAGUUGCAGACUAUCUAUGCCGUGCGACAAUUCCGAGGUGGAGCCGUUCGUUGGUGGAACACUCUAGGGAAGACCUUAAGCCCUAAUGAGCCACUGCAAUUGUCAUGGGCAGAGUUCUUGGUGCAGUUCAAGCGCAAGUUCUGCUCGGCUCAAAAUCUGUUGGAGUUGGAGAAUAAGUUUUUGACAUUGACGAAGGGUAGCAUGUCAGUUGAUGAAUACACCAAUAACUUCACCGAUAAGAUGGAGUUUGCCUUGCGUAUCGUUCCAGACGAGCUGACAAAGGUGGAUCGGUAUGCGAAGGGACUUCCAUGGGAGUACGAGGUGCCGGUACGUCAGGCACUUACUCUAGAGGCAGCUAUCUGGGCUGCCAAGUCUGUGGAGAACAUGAUCAAGGGGAGAACCACCGUCAAGGUUGAGGUUGGUGAGAAAAGGAAGUUUGAAGGAACAUCUGGUUCCAGUAAGAAGAGCAAAUUUUCGAAAUCUGAUUCGAAAAAGUUUGGAGGAAAAGGAGGCGAAGCAAAGUGGUGUGAUAAGUGUAAGAAAAAGCACUUUGGGAAAUGUAGCGAGGAUGUGACCUGCUACAAGUGUGGAAAGGUUGGACAUUUUGCCAAUGAAUGUCCGAACAACAAAAGGAUGUGUUUUGGUUGUAAUGAAGAGGGGCAUAUUUUGAAAGACUGUCCGAAGAAGAAGGAGGCAGCUAGGCCCAACAUUCCACCAAAGCCGAAGGCGAGAGCCUUCCAGAUGACACUUGAGGCUGCGAAAGAUGAAGCUGAUGUCGCUUCAGGUACCUUUCUCGUAAACGAAUUACCUGCUCAUAUAUUGUUUGAUUCUGGAGCCAACUACUCCUUUAUUUCGCAUGAGUUUGGUAGAAAGCUAGCUUUGCCUGUUGAUAGACUAAAUAAUGCUUUAUUAGUCGAAGUAGCUAGUGGCAAGUUUGUACCUGUUAGCCAUCGUAUGAAAAACGUCUUGAUCGACCUUAAUGGGAAUAAGUUUCUCGAGGAAUUAUUGCCUAUCGAACUAAAUGGUUUCGACAUCGUCUUGGGAAUGGAUUGGCUUAGCGCCAAUGAUGCCGAAAUUUUGUGCAAGAAGAAGAUAGUUAAAGUAAACCCGCCUGGAAAAGAUUCGUUUAUGGUGUAUGGGGACAAACGCAGAGUGAAUUCUGGAAUCAUUUCUCUAAUGAAAGCCAGAAAGUGUUUGACCAAGGGAUGUACAUCAUAUUUAGCAUUCGUGAUUGAUGCUAAGAAAGAAAAGAAGGUGAUGCAGAGCAUUCCAGUGGUGUGUGAUUAUCCGGAAGUAUUUCCCGAGGAUCUUCCUGGAUUACCACCUGAUAGACAAGUGGAGUUCAGAAUAGACUUGUUACCAGGAACCACGCCAAUAGCAAAAGCACCUUAUCGAUUAGCACCGACGGAGAUGAAGGAGCUAAUGAUGCAACUUCAGGAGUUAUUGGACAAAGGUUUCAUUAGACCUAGUUCAUCGCCCUGGGGAGCUCCGGUGUUAUUUGUAAAGAAGAAAGAUGGAAGUAUGAGAAUGUGCAUCGAUUACAGAGAGCUGAACAAGGCAACAAUAAAGAAUAGAUAUCCGUUGCCGAGGAUUGAUGACCUGUUUGAUCAAUUGCAAGGUUCGAGCUAUUUCUCGAAGAUCGAUCUUAGGUCAGGAUAUCAUCAGCUGAAAGUAAGAGAGCAAGAUAUCGAGAAGACUGCAUUCAGAACUAGAUAUGGACACUACGAGUUCUUGGUUAUGUCGUUUGGACUAACCAAUGCUCCAGCAGCGUUCAUGGAUUUGAUGAAUAGGGUUUGUAAUCCUUUCCUUGAUAAAUCCGUGAUAGUGUUCAUAGACGACAUUCUGAUCUACUCGAAAAGCCAGGAGGAGCAUGGCAGACACUUGCGAGAAGUGUUAGAAGUUUUGAAGAAGGAGAAGCUUUAUGCGAAGUUCUCCAAAUGUGAUUUUUGGAUUCGUGAAGUCCAAUUCUUGGGUCACGUGGUCAACCAAGAAGGGAUAAUGGUUGAUCCAGCGAAGAUCGAAGCUGUGACGAAGUGGGAACAACCGAAAAGUCCCACGGAGAUUCGAAGCUUUUUAGGAUUAGCCGGAUAUUACCGAAGGUUUAUCCAAGGCUUUUCUUCGAUUGCUACUCCAUUAACAGCUUUGACCCACAAAGGAGCUACUUAUGCUUGGAGUGAGAAGCAUAAAGAAGCAUUCGAGAAGUUAAAGAAGAAGCUAUGCGAGGCACCGAUACUUUCUCUACCCGAUGGAGUUGAAGACUUCGCUGUUUAUAGCGAUGCGUCUGGUGUUGGAUUGGGUUGUGUUUUGACCCAAAGAGAAAAGGUGAUAGCAUAUGCGUCUCGACAGCUGAAAGAGCAUGAAAAGAAUUACCCGACUCAUGAUUUGGAGUUGGCAGCGGUAGUUUUCGCUCUGAAAAUAUGGAGGCAUUACCUCUAUGGCACGAAGUGCAAACUUUUCACUGAUCAUAAGAGUCUCCAAUACCUCUUUAAUCAGAAAGAAUUGAAUAUGAGGCAACGACGCUGGCUAGAAUUACUUAAAGACUACGACUGCGAGAUACUUUACCACCCCGGUAAAGCUAAUGUUGUUGCUGAUGCUCUCAGUCGGAAGGUCAAUCUUGAAAGGAAGAGGCCAAGAGCGUUGAGAAUUGAAGUUGUCUCGACCAUUGUGGAAAGUAUAAAGAAAGCUCAAGAGGAAGCUUCUGAGAAAAAUGACCGAAAGGAGGAACGUUUGGGUAAAACGUUGGUGUUUGGUACUAACGGUCAUGGACUGAAGGUAUUCCAAGAUCGUAUUUGGGUACCUAAGUCAGGAGGAAUUAGAGAUCUUCUGAUGGAAGAAGCUCACAAGACCAUGUACUCGAUUCAUCCGGGUAGCACUAAAAUGUAUAGGGACCUGAAACCCUACUACUGGUGGCCGACGAUGAAGCUUGAUGUUGCAAAGUAUGUGGCCGAGUGUGUGACUUGUGCGAGAGUCAAGACACAACAUCAGAAACCGUACGGGAGUUUAGAACCUUUGCCUGUGCCUAUGGGUAAGUGGGAAGACAUUGCUAUGGAUUUUGUCACUAAACUGCCCAGAACAAAGAAUGGUCACGACAUGAUUUGGGUGGUCGUUGAUCGAUUCACUAAGAGUGCGCAUUUCAUAGCGGCCAGGGAGAAAUGGUCUAUGGAAAAGCUUGCGAAUUCUUACGUGAAGGAAAUUGUGAGGCUUCACGGUGUUCCGUUAACGAUUGUAUCGGAUCGUGAUAGCCGUUUCACCUCAAGGUUUUGGAAAAGUCUACAAGAGGAAAUGGGUACCAAGUUAUGUUUAAGCACAGCUUACCAUCCGCAGACUGAUGGUCAGAGUGAAAGAACAAUACAAACACUUGAAGAUAUGCUGAGAGCAUGUACCUUGGAAUUCCUAGGUAAUUGGGAUGAACAUUUACCGUUGGUAGAAUUUUCCUAUAAUAAUAGUUUUCACUCGAGCAUUAAGAUGGCACCUUAUCAAGCUUUGUAUGGACAGAAGUGUCGUACGCCGUCUUGUUGGCUUGAGGCUGGGGAAAAGCAGUUUAUGGGACCGGAGUUGGUUCAUCAAACUGCUGAAAAGUUGAAAAUAAUUAGGGAAAGAAUGUUAGCAGCUCAAGAUCGUCAAAAGAGCUAUGCUGACAAGAAGCGAAGACCGAUGACUUUUGAGGUUGGAGAUUCGGUUUUGCUUAAAGUCUCGCCGUGGAAGGGACUUAUAAGAUUUGGUAAAAGGGGAAAGUUGAGUCCAAGGUUUAUUGGACCGUUUAGAGUCCUUCAGAGGAUUGGGAAUCAAGCUUACAAGCUCGAAUUACCCGAAGAACUGAAUGGAAUUCACAACACCUUUCAUGUGUGUUAUUUGAGGAAGUUCACGGGAGAAGUUCCCGAUAUAAUUCCAAUUUCUGAAUUGAGAAUUGAUGAGAACAAAAGGUUGAUUGAAGAACCAGAGGCAAUUGUUGACCGAAAGACUAAGAAGUUGCGACGCAAAAUGGUUGGGUUAGUGCUUGUCCGAUGGAAACACACGAAUGGGCCGAAUCUCACCUGGGAGACGGAGAGUGACAUGUUGAGUCGCUAUCCGCAUUUGUUUGUUGAUGUGUGAUUCCGGGGACGGAAUCAUUCUAAGGUGGAGAGAAUUGUAACGCCUGUGUUUCGGGCUUGCCAUUUGUAGCAAUGUAAUAGUCUAGGUUAACCUCUGUAACCCGUUUUGAAAUAAUAAGAUUGUAUUAUUUGAGUAUUGUGUGUUUUGUGCUUAAUUGCUUAAUUAUGUGGUUUGAUUAAUUAAGAAUAAAAAUAAGCGUCAAAAUUUAAGUGUAAAAUAAACUUAAUAUAUUUGGUUAAUGUUGUAGUAGUUGAAACGAGGUUUCCGAAUAUAUAUAGAACGCCCAAAUCUGACUUCGUAUGAGGAAGUUAUGAUUUAUCGAAGUUCCGGCUUAGCGAUAUACAGCCUGUUUUACUCGAUUUGAGAUCGAGCGGUUGUUAGCCGAAGCAAUCUAAAUGAGAAUCGAAGAUCUCAUUGUUGGUAUUGAAACGAUAAAAAGUUAGGCGAGAACGGACGUCAAACGAAGAAGUUAUGAAUUUAUAACGAAAGUUUCUGUCCCGGCCUAUUAAAAAUAAUUAAUAAAAAUAAAGUCAAAAUUAGCCGACGGAGUCUAAACGAAAGUCGUAGAGCGUGGUCUCACCUUCGCGUGGAUAUAAAGAACGUCGAAAACGGAGUUCGUAUGAAGAAGUUAUGAAUUUCCGAAGUUUAUUAAUCAUUUUGUAUUUAUAUUUAAAUCAAAAUUCGGAAGCAUUAUCCGAAGGAGUCACCGAUCUGAUCCGAGGUACGCCCCGCGUACUCGAGUACGCCCCGCGUACUCCGAGGGAUGUCGACACUCGCACUCGAGCACUUCGGAUACGUAAGCAAUGACGUUUUGGGCAGUACGCCCCGCGUAACGCAGUACGCCCCGCGUACUCCGAGGCUCCAGCCUCCUAUAAAUAGGAUGCGAGGGUUCCGGGUAUUUUUGCCAAUUCCCUCUCGUUUUCGUGUCGAAGCUCUGUGCAAAAACCCCCGAAGCUACCCCGAAGUCCCGGUAUCAUACUCUAGCCCCGAGGCAAGUCCCGAGAUCCCGAAGAUCCCGAAAAGUGCGGUUCCCGAGUCGAAGCUCUGCCCGCGAGAAGUUCGAUUUUCGAGAAGAUCUUCCAGAUCUGCUGUGGAUUACUACUUCUAUAAGCCGUAGUGCUGUCCGAUCAUCUUCUGAUCAAGUGAGUGUGUAGUUAUUUCUUCUAAUACAAUAAUACGAAGUAUUUUAUAUAAAAAUACGUGCUAUGUGUAUAUAUUUGGUUGUGUUAUGUGUGAAUGAGUAUUCACUCUCUUCUAUCUUAUAGAUCUGCUUAUUUCUUUAUGAGAUAUGUGUUAUGUGUGUGUGUGCCUCAUCUGUUAUGUGAUAUAUGUGUUGAUUAAAGCAUGCUAUACAGGUUUUCUUUAAACUAUGUAUACAAAUGUAUAUUUUUAUCUACUAAUAUGUUGGGUAGAACAUGGGUAGACAGUUGGUGUGUAAUAAACAGAUGAGAGGCCUCGUUGUUGUUUGAUUGAGUCAUCUAGCGGAGUUUAGAUGACGACCACUGGCUAUUCUAGACAGUCUUGUGGAAACAUUAGCAGGUUCGCCACCUGUAGGUGUUAAUGAACUUGGGUGUUCAUUCGCUGUACUCCAUCCCCCUCAUGGUUGCCUUAUUUGACUUAUAUUGCUGAGGUACCCCCGAAGCAUGUGUUGUCGCCCCGAUGAAAUAUUCUUAGACU